CAGCAGCCACGGUAAUACGAAGGGGGCUAGCGUUGUUCGGAAUUACUGGGCGUAAAGCGCACGUAGGCGGACAUUUAAGUCAGGGGUGAAAUCCCGGGGCUCAACCCCGGAACUGCCUUUGAUACUGGGUGUCUAGAGUAUGGAAGAGGUGAGUGGAAUUCCGAGUGUAGAGGUGAAAUUCGUAGAUAUUCGGAGGAACACCAGUGGCGAAGGCGGCUCACUGGUCCAUUACUGACGCUGAGGUGCGAAAGCGUGGGGAGCAAACAGGAUUAGAUACCCCCGUAGUCCCUGUUUCUUAUAC
This 301-nucleotide ribosomal RNA is filed under the name uncultured bacterium. RNAcentral describes it as "partial 16S ribosomal RNA". It matches the Rfam family "Bacterial small subunit ribosomal RNA", at positions 509 to 807 of the family's 1533-position model. The record is from RNAcentral.